UGGACCCAGGAGCCUCUGCAUAUUUGCUCUGCGUCAGUUGCUGGCUCUGUGUGCGUUCCCACUGACUUUUGUAGAUGCAAUCUGACAAGGCCCUGUUUCCAAGAUGGCUGUCAUCUUCCAUCCUGGGGAUUCCCUGUUGAUGCUGACCUACUCAGUGCCUGUGUAGAAGCAACCAGGAAGUGAGGAGUUAUUGUCCCAUGGAGGAAACCUUUGUCCAAUGGGAAGUGGGAACCAGUGGAUAAAAUCUUCCCUCUUCCUCUCCUUGGACAGCCAGUCCUGAGAUGCAGUCAUUCAUGUGGCCUCUUGGAAGAUGGAGCAAUCAAUCACGCCUGACCCCAAGGGGAAGCCAGCUUUGUAAUGCACCACUGUAUUUGCUUUCUUUCCUUCCCUGCCUUGCUUUCUUUUCCUUUGAUAUUUGGAGAACAAAAGAAGAAGGUAGAUCCAGGAAAGCUGAUGGAGAAGGAGGCAGAGAAGUAGAAGGAAAGCCAGGAGAAAGCAACGCCAUGGAAACCUUGCAAAGGAGAUUACAAACAACGCUAAAGGAAUAUGUUGAAGGAAAACACUGAUUCAUUCAAUAAAUAAUUAUCGGCCACUCAUUCUGUUCCAAAUUUGGGAAUAAAGCCAAGGAUAUACCUUCCUGGACUUCGCUUUGUACCGAUGAGCUGAUAAAACUGAAGCCCCAACAGUUUGACUUGUCCGAGGUGACAUAGCGAAAACGGGAGUAGGACUCAAGAAUUGGAUCCAAGCCACCGUCUGACCGCCAUAUUGAAAUGCCUAUAUAAUAGACUCUCCCAGAUUCUGGCUCUGCUGAAGAAACCAAACGAAGGUCGAUAGGUUUACAGUCUCCUUCUCUACAAGAAUCUGUUACACCAAUGUCGUUAGUAAAGGCAGCUCUGCUCUCACUGUGGAGGACACAGCGAUCAUGUCUGUCCUAGGCUGCUCUGCUUCUUGCUCAUCAGCCUGGGCUUGCUUUCUCCUGUGCCUCUUGAAGGAUCUAGACAAUUACAGAAAGAACAGCAGGGCAUUACAUUUUCUUGGUAAGGUUAGGGUUUUGAGCUCUCUUUCUCUACUGCCAUGUUGGUCAUCAGCGCUCGCCCCAGCUCCCUGAUGUCCUCCUUGCUCCACGCCAGCAGCCUGGAGGAGUGCUUGCUGUCACAAAGCCUGGAGUCAUGGUCUGCCCCGCCACCUCCCUGGCUGGCUGGGCAACCUCAGAGAGGCCGCUUGACUCUCUGAGUGCUGAUAUCUUUACCUGUAGAAUGAAGAUUGUAUCAUUUGCUUCACCUUCCACGUAAAGAUGUUAUGAGUCUCAAAUCAAAAGAAU
RNAcentral lists this long non-coding RNA (1321 nucleotides) under Equus caballus (horse). Its description in RNAcentral is "lncRNA (ENSECAG00000038093.3)". Lineage: Eukaryota; Metazoa; Chordata; Mammalia; Perissodactyla; Equidae. The record is from RNAcentral.